RNAcentral lists this non-coding RNA (24 nucleotides) under Arabidopsis thaliana (thale cress). The record is from RNAcentral. Lineage: Eukaryota; Viridiplantae; Streptophyta; Magnoliopsida; Brassicales; Brassicaceae.
UUUGCAGAAAAUGAGACAAAGGCU